RNAcentral lists this ribosomal RNA (827 nucleotides) under uncultured Intrasporangiaceae bacterium. RNAcentral describes it as "bacterial SSU rRNA". It matches the Rfam family "Bacterial small subunit ribosomal RNA", at positions 56 to 896 of the family's 1533-position model. Lineage: Bacteria; Bacillati; Actinomycetota; Actinomycetes; Micrococcales; Intrasporangiaceae. The record is from RNAcentral.
UGCAGUCGAACGGUGAACCGCUUUCGGGUGGGGAUCAGUGGCGAACGGGUGAGUAACACGUGAGUAACCUGCCCUUCACUCUGGGAUAACUCCGGGAAACCGGUGCUAAUACUGGAUAUGACCUACUCGGGCAUCCGAUGUGGGUGGAAAGAUUUAUUGGUGAGGGAUGGACUCGCGGCCUAUCAGCUUGUUGGUGAGGUAAUGGCUCACCAAGGCGACGACGGGUAGCCGGCCUGAGAGGGCGAUCGGCCACACUGGGACUGAGGCACGGCCCAGACUCCUACGGGAGGCAGCAGUGGGGAAUAUUGCACAAUGGGCGAAAGCCUGAUGCAGCGACGCCGCGUGAGGGAUGAAGGCCUUCGGGUUGUAAACCUCUUUCAGCAGGGAAGAAGCGAAAGUGACGGUACCUGCAGAAGAAGCACCGGCUAACUACGUGCCAGCAGCCGCGGUAAUACGUAGGGUGCAAGCGUUGUCCGGAAUUAUUGGGCGUAAAGAGCUUGUAGGCGGUUUGUCGCGUCUGCUGUGAAAUUUCGGGGCUCAACCCCGAACUUGCAGUGGGUACGGGCAGACUAGAGUGUGGUAGGGGAGACUGGAAUUCCUGGUGUAGCGGUGAAAUGCGCAGAUAUCAGGAGGAACACCGAUGGCGAAGGCAGGUCUCUGGGCCACUACUGACGCUGAGAAGCGAAAGCAUGGGGAGCGAACAGGAUUAGAUACCCUGGUAGUCCAUGCCGUAAACGUUGGGAACUAGGUGUGGGCCUCAUUCCACGAGGUCCGUGCCGCAGCUAACGCAUUAAGUUCCCCGCCUGGGGAGUACGGCCGCAAGGCUA